Molecule: ribosomal RNA, 438 nt
Filed under: uncultured bacterium
Lineage: Bacteria
Description: bacterial SSU rRNA
Rfam family: Bacterial small subunit ribosomal RNA
Source: RNAcentral
AUACCAGACUCCUACGGGAGGCAGCAGUGGGGAAUAUUGCACAAUGGGGGAAACCCUGAUGCAGCGACGCCGCGUGAGCGAAGAAGUAUUUCGGUAUGUAAAGCUCUAUCAGCAGGGAAGAAAAAAAUGACGGUACCUGAGUAAGAAGCACCGGCUAAAUACGUGCCAGCAGCCGCGGUAAUACGUAUGGUGCAAGCGUUAUCCGGAUUUACUGGGUGUAAAGGGAGCGUAGGCGGCGCGUUAAGUCUGAUGUGAAAGCCCGAGGCUCAACCACGGGAGUGCAUUGGAAUCUGGCGGGCUGGAGUGCCGGAGAGGCAAGCGGAAUUCCUGGUGUAGCGGUGAAAUGCGUAGAUAUUAGGAGGAACACCAGUGGCGAAGGCGGCUUACUGGACGGCAACUGACGCUGAGGCUCGAAAGCGUGGGGAGCAAACAGGAUUA